This is an RNA transcript of Oreochromis niloticus (Nile tilapia), 2881 nucleotides long. It is a transcript of the gene named contactin-associated protein-like 3B, with no coding region annotated. The record is from RefSeq and is a predicted model, not a curated record. The transcript is spliced from 6 exons. NCBI's taxonomy places the organism in Eukaryota, Metazoa, Chordata, Actinopteri, Cichliformes, Cichlidae.
UUAGUGUAGUAAACAAUGACUGUUUUCUACAGUCAUUGAUGUUCGGAGAGUGUGUGGUUUGUUUGUUUAUUUGUUUUAAAUUUAAUCAGAGAUGAAUAGCAUAGCACGCCUCUCACAGUGGUACAGCCGCACCGCGAUCUCAGAUGUUCCCCCAGUCAUUGUGAACAUGGAGGCAGCUGCAGUCAGUCAUGGAACACCUUCCGCUGUAACUGCUCUGGGACCGGGUACAGCAGAGCCACCUGUCACAGCUUGACUUCAAGCAUGGCUAUGCAGUCUUUGUUCAGCAGUGGCAACAGCAGCCUCUGUAAACCUGGCAGCCAGUGUGGUCUUCUGCUGCUGUAUCCCAUCAAGAUGUGACAUGCACCUCUGCAUGCCGUAGCUCCACUGCAAUAUACGAGCAGUCCUGCAAGGCUUACAAACACAAAGGCAACGUUUCGGGUUAUUAUUACAUUGAUGUGGACAGCAGCGGACCCAUCAAGCCACAGCUGUUAUACUGCAACAUGACAGGUAGCUGAGCUGAUCCACACACAUCAAAAGACACACGCGUCAACAUGCCGGGUGCACAAUCUCUUCCUCUCUCUCUUUCAUCCUGCCUUAUUCUCAGUCUUUCAGUUUUAACUGAAACUGAAGCACCCCAUUAAAACUCUUGGACAAACCUUUUCUGGUGAAAAGACUCUGUGCCAAGACUGUGAGCAGCUUGGUUGAUGUGUUGCUGCUGCUGUGCUGUUACUGCACCUGUGUAACAUUUUUAUCUUUGCUGUAGUUUUAAACAGGAAGUUUAUGUUUCAUCGCAUGUCUAAAUAAAGGACACGUCUGCUGAAAUUCUGCACUUUUCUGACUUGCAAUAAAAAAGAUGAUCAACGCCAAUAAUUAACCACCACCAUGGUUAAUUAUUGGCGUUGAUCGACUUGGUAGGAAUGAUGGGACUGACCUACAAACAGGUCAGUGUUUUGGAAGGUUACUAGAACAUAACAAAUUAAAUUCAUGUUCAGUUUUGGGUCCAUUGUACUCACUGAAUUUUGUCCGAUUUCUUCCAUAUUUAGAUAAAGGAUUGUUUUCAAAAGAGACGGCAGGUUUUGGAGGAGUUCACAUCCAUAGCAUGUGAUUAGGGGCGUCCCACGUCUAAGUAUCUCCUAUUAUUAAACAGAAUUGAUCUGAUCUGGGAAGCUGAUUGUAUUUGAUGAAAUGUAGUGCCUAUAAUUUAAAACUCUGUAUUGUGGUUUUACUUACAGUCCACCUUUUUGUGAUGAAGUUUCAGGCAGAGGGACAGCCCCAGCUCACUAAAACUAGCAUGUGGAGACAAACUUUAUGAAAAUGUACAAUCAGACCCUCUAUUUGCAUAAAUCACAUUUGACAUUCCCCAACUCCCCCCAGAUGUUUGGCUGGUCCAUGCCACCAAACAGCAGCCAUCAUGAAUUCAACUCUAGUCUUCAGCGCUGCUUUCAAUGUAAACAACCCCAGAUUUCACAGUGCAACUUUUGACAGAAAGUGGAGAGCCUUGCUAACUCCUAAUGCUCCUUUAAUCACAGAUAUUGUCAAUGCUGCCAUCUAUUGACCAAUAAUGGAUCUGACAGCAAUAUUGUGUUUUAGCCAAGACACCAUAAAGAUGGCUGUAUCUACUAUUACAUCCCCCAUUUCUGAAGUAUCAUUCUGAAGCCUGAAAAUGAGGAUUUCUGCCAUUUUGGUUUUAAAAACAAAGAUGUCAGAAAUAUGAGCAUGGGUGGGUCUGACUGUCAAACCACAUGUUCGUGGCUUUCAGGUAGAUUUAAAUCAUCUGCGUUUUUACAGCAUGAAAGCUGCAUGCAUGUUUUAUACCGUCCCAUUUUUUUCUGUAAAUGUUAGAAUGAAAAAGUCCCCUUUUUUAAAUAUAUAUGUGUAUUGUAAAUGUUUCACAGUCUGUGCAAUCAAUGAUUUUUCUGCCUCCAUGUUUUCUUCUGCUUUCAUUGAGUCUCUAACACAAUAAUCUGCAAUAUUUGAUAGUAUGUUAAAAAGUACAUGCAUUUUUCAGAAGUCGUGAAAUCUUCUUUAGCCUCUCAUCACAGGUGGGUGUGUGCUUACUCCUGCAGACAUCAGCCAGAGAUUGUAAAUUCUAGCUAGUAUCAAUAAUUGGCUGAAGGCAUAUCAGGAUUCUGUGCAUUUUUAACACUAAAUUCUAAUUUUCUUCUCCUCUGUAAGAAUAGGUGAACUAAUAUUCUAAUCUACAAUAUUUGAUCAUGUUGAUGAAAAUCAGAUUUGCUCUCUCUUAGUAAAGGAAAAACAUGGGGUGAAUUUUAGGCCUAAUCUUAAAACCUGUGGAUUUUAGAAAUAUUAGAAUUUAUUCAGAUCUGGAGAUACUGUAAAUUAGAUUCUAUUAAGAACUCAUGCUUGGAAAUGAGAACAUAUCACACAUUUUGUGUCACAGAUUAUUAGGCAGAGGACUCACUCGCAGGACUCUGAAGUUUAGAGAGAAGGUGAAGGUUUAUUUACGAUGUGGCACCAAGUGAGAAUAUAUACAUAUGUACAGUGAGACAGAUAACACAGGGCUCCAGGGAGUGGAGGGGGGUCCGAAGGGAAGGUCCAAGGCGGGGGUACACACGUUCCUCUUCAACUUAAUCCACAACUCACUCUGAAUGUCCACUCCAAAAUACUCAUGCUCACUCACACACAUCCACAGAAAUCCAGAUGGCAGGGAAUCUAGAAGGCCUGUACACAGAGAAAAACAAUGUUAGGAGGAAACUCUAGGGGAUCACAAGGAAUACUUUGAAAGGCUAGGCUACACUGACGCUAGGCAGUGUGACAAUCAGCGAGGAAGCAGCCUCUCUUGCCAUCUUAAGUAGUCUGCCAGGAUCAGUGUGAAUGAGCCACAGGUGUGUGUUCAGGGCGGGUUCAGAGGCGGGGAAUC